ACUACUACUACUACUACUACACAGAAGCGACGAACGACAUUGUUGGUGUUCCUGAGACAGUCAUUUCUCAAUGAUCAUGGCUCUAUUUCCGUUUUAUCAACCGAGGGCAACGAAUUGCUCUGCAAUAUCCCUUCAGUGGCUUUUACCCUAACAGAAGACACUGUAAAUGGUUUUUUCUGAGCCCAUUCAGGUCGCAACUCCGGAUUCAAAUUCAGAGGUUAGACAUCCAACGGGAGUUACGGUGUCGACGAGAUAAUCUCACUCUGUUGGGCAUUGGCAACACUAGCCUUCGUUUCUGUGGCACUUUAAACAACCAACUGACCUAUAUCUCCAAUCGUAACUUUGCGAAGUUCAUCUUCAACUCUGAUCGCGGGGUCCAAGCCGCUGGAUUUAGAGCUGUUAUCGAAGUUAUGGAGGUAUAAGGAUAUCCAGCCUUGCCAGUGACCCUCUUAUUGUGAUUGUGACCUCGUCCUUCACAAUUCCCUCUAAUAUCACUUUUAUGUCAUGUUCAAAGCAACUUACGUGCAAUAAAUUCCGCAGACUACUGAGCAUAA
Long non-coding RNA from Tigriopus californicus, 554 nucleotides. RefSeq lists it as uncharacterized. Lineage: Eukaryota; Metazoa; Arthropoda; Copepoda; Harpacticoida; Harpacticidae. The record is from RefSeq and is a predicted model, not a curated record. The transcript is spliced from 3 exons.